CGAGUUCAAGGGUAUAUCGAGUGAUCGAGUGUCCAGCGCGGGACACUUCCAAUGGACGACGCCAAUAUUUGCGAUGAUCGUCGUUCCUGUGAUCAACCUGUGAGCCCUCUCUCUCACACACACACUCUCUCCAGCUUCUGUCUCUUCUGGUACUUUCACACCGUUCUGAUCUCACAACGAGUAUACCCCGAGCUGGAUCUUAUCGGGACGUUUGCAGAACACCAGCAGCAGCAGCAGCAGCAGCCGGAGCAGCCGGAGCACACCAACACAUAGCAAGCGUGUGGCGUUUUGCAGCAGCAGCAGCAGCCUGUUUACCUGUGGAAACGGACCGCGAUCGAUACACGCAGCUACAGUACCGCGUUCAGAGCACCAGACCAGAGUGAGCGAUAAGCGCCCAACACCAGCGGCCAGUGACAGUGACAGCGAUGGCGACCCUUCCUGGAGCUUCACAGAGCGUUUACUUUGGCGCAGAGUCGCCACUGCCGCCUGCACGCUAAUCCAAGAUUGCUACAGAAGGCCACACUCAGAGAGAGAGAGUGAGAGAGAGGGAGAGACAGCGAAAGUGAAAGCAUUGGGGAACGGCGCGAAUUGGAUGACGUAUCAUCCUGCACGGCGUCAUCUGCAUACCGCUUCCGGCCUUCCGUUUGCGACGAUGACGCGAGUUCGAUGAGCACACAGCGCACAAGGUUCCGGUGGCGUCUGGCCGUGCCGCGACGCGACGACGCGCAUUCGCCACGGACCACACUUCGCGAUUUACGAUCCUUGACGAG
This is a long non-coding RNA of Anopheles darlingi, 770 nucleotides long. RefSeq lists it as uncharacterized. The record is from RefSeq and is a predicted model, not a curated record. The transcript is spliced from 4 exons. Lineage: Eukaryota; Metazoa; Arthropoda; Insecta; Diptera; Culicidae.